GGCUUCAUAGCUUAGUUGGUUAGAGCGUCGCACCGGUACCGCGAGGUCACGAGCUCAAACCGCGUUGAAGUCC
RNAcentral lists this transfer RNA (73 nucleotides) under Acropora cervicornis. RNAcentral describes it as "tRNA-Thr". It matches the Rfam family "tRNA". Rfam says of the family: Transfer RNA (tRNA) molecules are approximately 80 nucleotides in length. Their secondary structure includes four short double-helical elements and three loops (D, anti-codon, and T loops). The record is from RNAcentral. Lineage: Eukaryota; Metazoa; Cnidaria; Anthozoa; Scleractinia; Acroporidae.